Non-coding RNA from Xyrichtys novacula (pearly razorfish), 2399 nucleotides. The record is from the annotation of a GenBank genome assembly. Lineage: Eukaryota; Metazoa; Chordata; Actinopteri; Labriformes; Labridae.
UAGUAUAAUAUGUUUAAAAAUGUCAUACUAGUGAUUGAAUAAUAUGUAUGACAAAAAUUUUUUUUAGUAUGUCAAAAGAAAGUCAUGGUAUAGUAUGAUAAAAAUGUCCUAAAAUUGUAUGAUAAAAAUCCAUAGUAUAGUUAGAUAAAAAAUGUCAUAGUAUAGCAUGUUAAAAAAAUGUCAUAGUAUAGUAUGAUAAAAAUGUCCUAAAAUUGUAUGAUUAAAAUUCAUAGUAUAGUUAGAUAAAAAUGUCAUAGUAUAGUAUGUUAAAAAAAUGUCAUAGUAUAGUAUGAUAAAAAUGUCAUAGUAUAAUAUGUUUAAAAAUGUCAUACUAUUGAUUGAUUAAUAUGUAUGACAAAAAUUUUUUUUAUAGUAUGUUAAAAGAAAGUCAUGGUAUUGUAUGAUAAAAAUGUCCUAAAAUUGUAUGAUAAAAAUCCAUAGUAUAGUUAGAUAAAAAUGUCAUAGUAUAGUAUGUUAAAAAAAUGUCAUAGUAUAGUAUGAUAAAAAUGUCCUAAAAUUGUAUGAUUAAAAUUCAUAGUAUAGUUAGAUAAAAAUGUCAUAGUAUAGUAUGAUAAAAAUGUCAUAGUAUAGUAUGUCAAAAAUCCCAUAGUUAAGUAUGUGAAAAAAUGUCAUAGUGUUGUAUGGCAAAAAAGAACAUUGUAUAGUACAGUAAAAAAAUCAUAGCAUAGUAUGAUUGAAAUGUCUUAGUGUAGUUUGUUUUAAUGAUAUGUCUUGAACCUUUAUAUUGGCUUUUAAUAAAUGUGAGUAUUAUUUGUAGUCGUUAAUGAAUGUUUUUGCUUGGAAAAUCAAUGACAACACUAGACCUGGUUCUCUUAAAAACUUUAAUGUGCAGCAGUUAAUCACAAGUUUCUCAGGCAACAAACAAGUUAUAUCAAGACUGACCACCAGGGGGGGCCUUUUCUGUUUUAUGCCUAUUGCUUUAACUAACUGGGUCCUGAACUCCAGAUCCUGUCGUCUUCUAUUCCUUGUUUGAUCCUCAGGUGGCGGCAGGAGGACUGGAGACCCGGCACUUGGUGGGACUUGCAGGGGACAACAUGGGUGACUACACAACCACCAGAGGGUGGGACCCACAAGUUAAUAAAUAAAAGACACAAACACACUGUACCUCUGUGUCGCUUUAUUUUAAUCAGCCCCUCCCCAUCCUCCCUCCCAACCCCUAUUUUCCAGAAAACCUCGACAUAAACCUGUCUCUGUGGCUCAGAGGGGAAAAAGAUCAAUUUCGACUCCUGAGAUUGAAGGUUUGAACCCUUAUCCAGGUUCUGGUGAAUUUUAAAGUCUAGUGUCUUGAGACGAGAGUGGAAGUCUUUCACGAACAGGAUCUUCCUGUGUGUCCACAUGGCUCAGUGGAUAAGAAGACUGACCGGGACUCCUGAGGUUGUGGGUUCAAGCCCUACCUUAUCCAGGUUGAGGUGAAUUUUAAAGUCUAGUGUCUACAAAGGAGAGUGAAAGAGGAAACAAACAACCAACAUCUGUGUGUCCACAUGGCUCAGUCAAUAACAAGACUGACUCAGACUCCUGAGGUCUUAGGUUCAAGCCUUACCUUAUCCAGGUUGAGGUGAAUUUUAAGGUCCAGUGUCUACAAAAGAGAGCGAAAGAGGAAACAAAUGGGAUCUUCCUGUGUGCGUUUGGCUCAGUGGAUAAGGACUCCUGUUGUCAUGGGUACAAACCUUAUCUAGGUCUAGUUGAAAUUUAAAGUCCAGGAGCCAAAGUACGAAGAUACAUGCGCGCAGAGCUCAUACCCAAGCGUGGAUAGUAGCGCAGUGCGGUAGUCCACCGGCACCCAAUGUGGGUACCCCGGUUCGAUACCCACUCGGGACAGGAAGUUUAAUGUGAUGGAAUGAUGAUAAUAAAUAGAGAAUUCUUCUCUAGCAAGAAGAAGUACUAUUCAUCACUUCUGAUGAUGAAAAAUAAUAAUAAUAAUCAUCACUUCUAAUGAUGAUAAUCUGACCAUUACUAAUACUCUCCAGCCACGAGCUGGUAUCACACCGGUACUCAUUGGGUGCCAGUAGACUACCGUGCAGCACCAUUAGAUACCAUCCACAUUAGGGCAUGAGGUCCACCCGCUUUUAUCUUCAUACUUUGGCUCCUGGACUUAAAAAUUCACCAAGACCUGGAUAAGGGUUCGAGCCCACAACCUCAGGGGUCCCAGUCAGUCCCAGUCAGUCCUCUUAUCCAUUGAGCCAUGAGAACACAAAGGAAGUUCCUGUUUGUAAAAGAUUUUCACUCUCCUCUCCUUUCUAGACACUGGCCUUUACCAUUUACCAGGACCUGGAUAAGUGUUCGCACCUUCAACCUCAGGAGUCUAAUCAAAUAAAAAAUACAAACAUACUGUGACUCUUUGUCUCUUUAUUUUAAUCAGACCCUCCCUGGAAAUGCCA